GUAGGGGAAUGGCCCUUUGUGGGCGUGGGUAGCCAUUCUUGUUUGGGGCAGAAGCCUGACAGUUGAAGUUAACGGUUCUCAUCUUUACCUUGGGCAAGAAUUCCCCUUCCCGGUCGUUUUGAUUUCUGAAGUCGAGGAAAGAAACCCCCAGAAUCCAUCAGGUUGCUGAGAUUUAACCCAUUCGUUGCCUAAUUGGCUAAAGGACGUCUCCGUUUAUCAUAUAAAUUCUAAGUUGGGAAGGGAUGUUUUGCUCAAGAAACUGUAUUUUAAGAACCAUCCUGUGUCUCAAAGUGGUGGGAAUGGGGGCUUGUGAAAGGAACGAAAGGGUAGUGUCCAUCAUCAGGAAGUUUCCUGUCUGGUAGAGGAGACAUUGUCCUUGCCCUUAGCGAACAGCAAGUAAGUUCGUCGUUCGCAUUGCGGAAGGAGGCAAAAUCAUUCUCCAGAAGCCGUAGCUCCAAAGAAUUCCCAGUUUAGCUCUGUGGAAAGCACCCACCUCUUUCCCCCAUUCUGUGUGGGUCUGAGAGCCCUGGGCGGCCCGCGGGGGUGGCGGUGGGUGUCGUACCAGAGUCUGAGAAGCAUUGAACCCCAUUUAGCCCAAGUGACCUCGGGAAAUCCAGAUGCUUGAACCAGGAGUUGGGGGAGGGAAGAAGAGGAAGAAAUAUUUUUAGUGAAGCUGCAGCUAAAAGAGGCACAGAUAGGGCCUGCUUUGAGAGGACCUGGGAAGGAGAGGUUAGUCAAGGAAAUAAGGCCGGAAGAAGAGCCAUAAGCAAACGUUGGGAAGUGGAGAGCAGGCGUUCAGGAUUUAACCUUGCUGGAGGAAAAGCCUUGAGAGGACCAAAGCUUGGCCAAGAGCCACUGGGUGGAAUCCAGGCAAGCUCAGUCAUUAAGUUAGGAUCCUAGACCCCAGUUCCACCUGAGACCAACUAAGAUGGAGAUUUCCCCCUGGAGCAGAGCUAAAGAGCAAAGCAGCCGAAGGAUGAGGAAUCUUCUUUUGAAAAAGGCUGCAGUUUAGCAAGAAAAUUCAAUUCCCACUGAGAGGAAAAGAAGAGUUAAGGGGUGAACGUCAUCCAGUCUGAAUGAAGGAGAAAGAACAAGUGAGAUAACGAAGCCAGAAGACAGAAAGCGGUGGGCCGCAGCAAGGGACAAAAUGUGUCAGACAAAGUACCGAAGGUCAAAAUCCAGGCCAUCUGGUUACCAGGGGAGUAGGAGGGAAGGGAUAUAGGGAGAGGGAGGACAUGAAUGGGAG
RNAcentral lists this long non-coding RNA (1246 nucleotides) under Equus caballus (horse). RNAcentral's name for it is "lncRNA (ENSECAG00000049212.1)". Lineage: Eukaryota; Metazoa; Chordata; Mammalia; Perissodactyla; Equidae. The record is from RNAcentral.